UGGCGGCGUGCCUAAUACAUGCAAGUCGAACGGCUUUUCUAUGGAAGCUUGCUUCCACUGAGAAGAUAGUGGCGAACGGGUGAGUAACACGUGGGGUAACCUGCCCAUAAGAGGGGGAUAACAUCCGGAAACGGGUGCUAAUACCGCAUAGUUUUCUUGAUCGCAUGAUCGGGAAAGGGAAGACGGCCUUUGUGCUGUCGCUUAUGGAUGGACCCGCGGCGUAUUAGUUAGUUGGUGAGGUAACGGCUCACCAAGACGAUGAUACGUAGCCGACCUGAGAGGGUGAUCGGCCACAUUGGGACUGAGACACGGCCCAAACUCCUACGGGAGGCAGCAGUAGGGAAUCUUCCGCAAUGGACGAAAGUCUGACGGAGCAACGCCGCGUGAGUGAAGAAAGGUUUUCGGAUCGUAAAACUCUGUUGUCAGAGAAGAACAAGUUGGAGAGUAACUGCUCCAGCCUUGACGGUAUCUGACCAGAAAGCCACGGCUAACUACGUGCCAGCCGCUGC
RNAcentral lists this ribosomal RNA (509 nucleotides) under uncultured bacterium. RNAcentral describes it as "bacterial SSU rRNA". It matches the Rfam family "Bacterial small subunit ribosomal RNA", at positions 37 to 518 of the family's 1533-position model. The record is from RNAcentral.